This 8458-nucleotide long non-coding RNA is filed under the name Phaseolus vulgaris (common bean). Its description in RNAcentral is "long non-coding RNA (PVUL_LNC003281)". The record is from RNAcentral. Lineage: Eukaryota; Viridiplantae; Streptophyta; Magnoliopsida; Fabales; Fabaceae.
AUCCUUACUACUCGUCGAGUGGAACAGCUGCAGCAUGUUCGUGUCUCGGAACUUCAAAACUGGAUCAAACAGUUGUAUAAUGUUUGGUGCAGCCAAAAGAGUGAAUCUGGCUAUGCCUUGGUGGAGCUGAAGCAAUGGUUUUCUCACCUCUCAUUCAACAUGGUUCUUCAAAUGGUCGUUGGGAAGAGAUAUUUUGGUGGUGAAAACUUGGAAGAUGAGAAGGCACAGAGAUGUGUGAGGGCUAUGAGGGAGUUCAUGCGUCUGUUUGGGGUGUUCACAGUGGGAGAGUUUGUUCCAUGGUUGAGAUGGUUUGAUUUUGGAGGCCAUGAGAAGGCAAUGAAAGCAACUGCAAAAGAGUUGGAUAGUAUUAUAGGUGAGGAGUUAGAGGAACAUAGAAAAAGGAAGGGUUUGGGUGAGAAGGUUGAUGAAGCUAAAGAUUUCAUGGAUGUAAUGAUUUCAUUGCUUGAUGGAACAACUAUUGAAGGGAUCGAUGCAGAUACCAUGAUCAAAUCCACCGUGCUGGUACGUAUGUUUAAUUCACACGUUAUAAUGCUUUGGAAAUGUGAAACUUCAACAAAACUAAACAUAUAAAUACAACAUAAUUCUUCAUUAAAUUUGGUAUUUAGUGUUGAAACACUUGUUGUAGGGGAGAUGAGGAUUAUGGGUAGAAUUAUAUAUAUGGAUGAGGUCUAUGACUGUCUUAUUAUGUUCUAUAGACUCUAUAGGGAGUGGGAACCUUUUGAAUUUUUAUUGGUAUUCUUAAUGUAUUCCUUUUAAUUCAUUUUAUUCAUCAUUGAUAAAAUAAAUUAAAUUUGAAAUAUUUCCUCAGAAACUUACCUUAAAAACAUUACAAAACCCUAAACCAACUUCUCUUACAGAAGUACAGUUUUUUUUUUUUUGGCACAAGAAGUCUAAUUUCUUUCACUUAUUCUUUACACAAGUGUGUUUUAUCGUCUUUACCGUUUAUAUGGGGUUCAUUUGAUAGACAUGAGUGUUUUUUUGGGAGAGUGAGGGAUAUAGUGAUGUUGUGAUUGGGAGAGAAAGGGACAUUUGUGGUGUUGCGUGAAUGAAAAUCCAUGGACCACUUACAAUUUUUUUUUCUGUUUUUCUACUUUGAUUUGGUUUUUGUGAAAAAUAAUGAAAUUUUGAAAAAAAAAACUUGUAAGUUAUACAUCAUUAGUUUAGAAAUUGUUUACUUUUUCGAUGGUGGAAAUUUAUAAUGAUUAUAGAACUCAAGCAAGUAAUCCCUAGAAAAUAAAUUAAAUUAAAUAACUUUUUCUUGUAAAUUAAAAUUAAUUUUAACCUAAAUUGUUUUUAAUAAUACGUUUUCUGAACCUGAUCUUAAUUUUCUUCACUUAAAUAUUUCUCUUGGGUCACUUAUUUGAUUUGCAGGCAGUGAUAUCAGGAGGAACUGACACAACUAAUACAGUUCUUACGUGGGCAUUAUCUUUGAUUUUAAGAAAUCCUUCUGUGCUAGAAAAAGUAAAAGAGGAACUAGACAUUCAUAUUGGAAAAGAAAAAUGCGUAAGUGAGUCCGAUAUAAGUAAGUUAAUAUAUGUUCAAGCUAUAGUCAAAGAAACUUUAAGAUUGUAUCCUCCUGCUCCUACUUCGGGACCUCGUGAAUUCACAGAGAAUUGCACUUUAAGAGGUUAUAAUAUAAAAAAGGGAACCCGACUAAUCAUAAAUCUUUGGAAGAUUCAUACAGAUAGUAAUGUUUGGGAAGAUCCUUUAGAGUUCAAACCAGAAAGGUUUCUUACAACUCAUAAAGAUACUGACAUCAAAGGCCAUCAUUUCGAGUUAUUACCAUUUGGGGGUGGUAGAAGAAUUUGUCCAGGAGUAUCCUUUGGCCUUCAAAUGGUGCAUUUCAUUCUUGCUAGUCUUUUGCAUUCUUUUGAAAUUAUAAGUUCAUCACCAAAUCCUAUUGAUAUGACUGAAAUCUUUGGAUUAACCAACACCAAAGCCACUCCACUUAAUAUUCUUAUUAAACCACGCCUAUCUCUUAAUUGUUAUGAAAACAACUAAGCCUUUUAUUAGCUACGUGAUUACAUUGUAUUUUUGUUUCUACUAAAUAAUUCAAAGUACUUGCUAUGUUUGUAGUUCCUCAAAUUGUAUAUUUGUAUUUUCGUUUAUCAGUACUUGUAACAUUUGUAGUUUACUUUUGUAAAUUUUGUAACUCUUUUAAAUAUAUAAUUGAUAAAAGUAUAAUUACAGCGUAUAUUCUCACCAUUUUAACUUUUUUAUUCUUUAUUGAUUUUUUUUUUCUUAUCAUUCUUAUUGUUGCGUUGUUAAAAUUUAAGUUUGUAUUUUUGACUAUUUUUGUUUAGUUCAUUUUCAUAUACUAGAAAUAACGAUGAUAAUUUGCUUAUUUUCUUUUUUUCAAACAUCAAUGUUUAUCGACUCAAGAAAUCAUAUAUACCAAAUUUAUAUUAUUUUAGUUUUGAACAAAUCAACUUACUAUCUACUUAAUUUUUCAAUUUUUUCAACCAAUCAAAUUAGUUCAUCUUCAACUUAAUUAAUCCUACCUCGUUAUCAAUAUCUAAAAAUAAGAAUUUUCAUCAUCUUAAUAUCAAAUAAAAUUUGUUAACAUUUUUAGUUUUUUUUUUAAAGUUAUUGAGCUUUGUUUGUUUGGCCCAACUUUCUUUUUCUGUUUCAACUAGAUCUUAGUCUUUUUCUUAUAUAUACACAAUGUAUUUUACUCUCUAAUACACACAUAAAUAAGAAUUUCUUUUGUAUUUUUUUUCUCUGCGUUUCUCUCUUUUAUGCUUAAGUCGUUGUCUUCUUUUCAUUUGCAAUUAGGGUUCAUUAGAACCUCCCUCUCUCCAUUGCGAUUACGUGCGCUCCAUUUGAUGCACCACAUCAAACAAGGAAUAUUCAUCUUCAUUAACUGUAAUAUGGUAUCAGAGCUCUUCAUUCGAAGAGCUCUGUUGCGCUUCUCUAUGAUCUUUAUUUCCUCCUUUGUUGUUCUUGGUUAUCUUUUCUAUUAUCUUUCAAAAUCUUGAUUGGGUUUCAAAAUCUCUUAGACAAUGUCUAAUGAAAACCAUAGUCUUCAUAGUCUUAAUAGUAGUCACACUAUUACAUGCAAUUUUUGUGGUAAAUACGGUCAUACUGAGGUUGUUUGUUUCGCAAAGUGGGUUUUCCUUCAGGUAAUGUUAAAACCUCAAAGUUUUAUUCUACUAGAAAAGUCUACACUUUUUGUAAUCGUCUAAAAAAGUAUGGGUUUUCUCCUGGCUACAAAUUCACCAAUUGGACAUCCCAAGGCAAUAGUACAAUUACUACUGAUACUUUUUUUGAACUUUUUCCUAAAGAACAGGAUGUAAAGGGAAUUCAACUUACAUCACAAUAGUGCCAAUUAGAUAUCAAUUUAAUAACUAUUUAUCAUUAAUAGAAACUAAUUUAGAAAUUAAUAAUUUUUUAAUAUCUAAAAUGGUCUCUAAUUUAAUCAAUAUAGUAACUAAUUAUUUUUUGUCUCUAAAAUUAGUUUUUAAUUAAAUAUUAUUUUUAGUGCUUGUUUAUCGCAUUUAAAUUUCAUUUCAAUUACUCAAUAAUAAACCAAAUAAUAUAUUUUUAUAAAUUUGGUGAAUAUAAAAGUUAUGUGUUACAAUUUUAUUGGUAUAAUAGACUUUUAUCUAGUCUUUUCUUAAAACUUUUUAUUAAUAGAUAUAUACUAUAUAUGUAUAUUUUUGUUAAUAUAUGGAUUUUAAUCUAAUUUCCUAUAUUUACUUGUAUUUCAUUUUUUUUAAUAAUAUAUUUUUUAUGUAGUGAUAGAUUAUUGUUAUUAUUUGAAGUGUGAUGUGAAGUUCCAAUGUCUGAUAUGAGAUUUUUUUAUUUUUUAUUUUAAUUUUUGUGUUAGUUUAAUGAAUAAAAAAAAUGAAUUCGGUAUGUAUAUUGUUUGAUAGUAAUAUAUGGUAGCCGCAAUAUUAACUAUUAAAAUAUCAUUUUGGUUUGAUUUAAUAUUUCAACAUUAUUAAAGUUUUACAUGUAAGAUAUUUUAAUCAUUUACUUAUUUUAAUGAUAUUUUCAAGAAAAAAAAUGUAGUUGACAAUAUAUUUUUAGAAAUCAAAUUGAUACAGGUUCAUCUUUCAAGAUCUACUAUAUAUCAAAGAUAAAAUUACUAAAAGAAUAUAAAAUAUCCUAUGUUUAUAAUUCUUUUAUUAAAAAUAAAUAAAUUUGGAUUUUUUUUAAAUGUUUACGGUUUACCUGUGAUUUUAUAGAGUAUUUUGUCCAAUUCAAUGAUAAGGAUUUUUUUUUAUGAUCAAAGAAUAAAUAAAAUAAAAUGAGACAUUUCAUGAGUGUUUCAACCCUUAUACAAAACAUUCAAAACAGGUUUCCUAGCAUCCUAUCAACCAAAGAUCCAACAAACAUUACACUACAAACCAAAACAAUAAACUAGUUCAAGAUAUAGAAACCUAACAAAUACAGUUACAUCAAUCCACCAAAGAGAUCACACCAACUAAACAAGAUCUUUGUCAGCAGGCUGAAGUGCCAUAACCAAGUGUCGAACUCAAUAAAACCGAUCCUACAAGAAGAAAAUGUAAACCAAAAUUAGUUCACCAAAGAGAUCACACCCUUAGUAUAGGACACAACAUCCAACACCUAAACAAUAACUUUGCAAUAGACUGAAGUACGCCAAAUAAUCAAUUGUCAACAUCAACAAACCGAUCCUACGAGGAGGAUAAAUAAACUAGAGAUAUCCUGCAAAAAGCACACAACAACUUCCCAAACUGGAUAGAUCAGUAACCAAAAACACCACAUAUCAAUCUCCCAAAGCUCAAACACCAUAAAGAUUCAAACACCAAACCGAGAAGCAUACAUCAAAAACACUUCCUUUACCGCAGCAAUCCAGGAACAAAAUCAUCAACCUGACCCUGCCAAGUAGAAAAGACCAAAAAAACCUGCACAAACACAUUAUAUCUUUCAAACCUGCAGGAAGAAAUCAUAAGCCAAAUAGACAUGCACACAACACAAACACCUCCCAAACGCAACUCAAGGACACACACCCCAAUCCAACCUUACCAGAUGGGAGGACCUGAUGAAACCUGCAGAAAACACACCACUACUUCCGAUUCCGAUUCCGAUUCCGAUUCCGAUUCCGAUUCCGUUUAUGAGGAAAAGCAUUUAUCUAAAUUGAGGACAAAAUUUAACAUUGCACUUUAAUCUGUAUUGUUUAAUUUUUUGGUCAUAGAAGAUAACAAAUCAAACUCACCUCCUUCACACAUCGUUGCAUAUGACUAGAAGCCAAAUUAAUCACGGCUUUGGGUGAAGCUUUUAUUAUUUUCAAUGCGAUCAAACAGAAAAAGACGUGUUCCAAUGGAUUAUUUUAAAUAAACAUUUCGAUAUUUUACCAAAUCUAGAUGGUUAGUUUUCUUGUUAUUUGUAGACGGUUUAUCUUAGUGUUUUUAUUUGUAGAUAUGGUUAGAUGCUUUGUAAUUCAUCUUUAAAUCUUAUCAAUAACUUUUUUUUUUUAGCUUUUAUUUAUGAAAAAAAUCUUCGAUUUUCUUUUGCUUUUGUGACAUAGUAAAACAAAAACAUCUAUAAAUGUGUGAAACCAUGGGCAUAGUUCCAAAAGUGGUGUUCUUGAACAAACAGCAACUCCUUCCAUUUUUUUCCACACCCGUUCAGGACAGUUUUGGAUUUACGUGAAAAAGUUUUAAAUAUAUUUUUAUUUUGUCUCCAUAGAGUUAGAAAGUGAGACUCACGACAGCAACAAAUUCUGAAACGUAGUUUUCAACGAACUCAUAACAGGACCACUAGGUUGCGUGAUUUAGGGUACAUUCAAGAAACAUUUCCACAUCAAUUAUUUAAAAACUUAUUAAUUUUUCUAAUUAAGCUCUUUAAUUUAUUAAAAACUUUAUAUUAAUCAGUUCCUCGUAUAAGCUACGAUUUUUUUUUUCUAUUGUUAUGCAUAAAGAUUGGAUCACUCGUGAAUGAUAAAAAAAUUAAAAAAUUCAGAUUUUGAAUAUAAAAAAAAGUUAAUUAGAAUAAAAUAUUUUACUUUGACAGAAACUAAUUAUUAAUUAAUGAGUAUAUAUUUGUUAAUGAAGUAGUUUACUUUAUAUAUUUGUUAAUUACUUGAAGUAAGAAAAACAGUCUUUAUUAUAUAAAAAAAAGUUAAACUUCUUUUAAAAGUGAGAGAUAAGUUUGAGUGAUUUGAAAUGUUUUAUUAAGUAAACUCCACAUAACCCAAUAACCUAUGAAUUUGAAGUAAUUAAAAAUAUUCACGUUUAGUUCUAAUAAUUGUUUUUAUCAUGAGAAGAAACUUGAUAUACUAAGCACCUAAUUACUUGAGUGAAGGCUAACUCUAGAAGAUUCAACACAAGACCCCUUAACCUUCCCACAUUUAUAAUUCAAUUAAUAUCAAGCUAUUAAGGUUAAUCUCUUUUAUGUUCAUAUAUAAUACAAAUUCUUUUUUCAAUAUUACUUCAGGAAUAUUCAACUAUCUUGCAUACCCUUUUUUCUGUAUAGUGGAAAUUUUUGACUGUUUUUUUUCUGACAUUGAAAGAUUCUACAUGUGAUCAGCAAGUGGAGAAGUGUUACCAAGUUGCUCAAAAGCCUUUAUAAGACUUCCACAUCACUUACAAUAACCAACCAAGAUAUAGGUAAUAUUUCCUUAUUAUUUAUCGAUUUACAUUAAUUAUAAUACAAUUUUAUAUUAAUUAUAAAAAAAUUAUAUUUUUUAAUAAGUGAAUAAAAUUAAACAAAGUGACAAGAUAAAUCUAAUCAUGUCAAAAAAUUAAACGAAAAAGAAAACCAAGUUAAAAAUUUAUAAAUUUUGAAUAUUCAAUAAAAAAUUAAAAGUAUUGAAAUUUAUAACAUACUUAAAGAUAAUUACAUUUAUUUCAAAAGUUCUUCUUCUCAGUACACGUGUUUGAAAAAAAUCUUUGACUUCUCCGACAUCUUUGACUGAGUUCAUCACAUAUCCAUUAGACAGAGUUCUUAUGCCACAAGAGUGGAUGAAUUAAUCUUUAUUAAAUAUUUUAAUAAUUUUAUUAGUUAAUCUAAUAAUAAAAUUAGUAAUUUAAUUUACUUUGAAUUUUUUUAACAUAUAUUUAAAUUACUAAUAUCAAUUAAUAAUAUUAACCACACGUUUAAAUCAACAAUUUCACUUUAUAAUUUAUUGUACAAAAAAUUUUAGCUAACAUUUUAAAUUUCAUAUUAAAACUAUUAUAAAGUAUGAUUUAAAUUAGUAAUCAUUCACAAAUUUACAAUUCACUGCAUAAUAAUUUAAAGUUUUAACAUUUUAAAACUUAAGCUUAUAUGUUUUAAAUAUUUUUAUGUUAGCAUAAUUUGAAAAUAAUUAUUCAUUAGUAUUAUUGCUGAGAGUUACAUUUUACAAUACUUUUAAUAACAUUAAAAAGUUAAAAAUAGAUAUAAUUAAUCAUCUUUUGGUCAACGUCCAAAUUUGAGUUAAGAGAAUAUUAUAAAAUGAUUUUUCGAACAAGUGUAUUAAGUCUAAAAUAUUAUAAAAUGAUUUUUCGAACAAGUUAAAGGAGUAAUGUAAGUUAAACAGAUAAUUAAGUCUAAAACAUUAGAAAUAUUAAAUUUAUAAAAUAGCUAAAGAUAAUUAUUUUUAAUUUAUAAUUAUAUAAUUACUUAGUCUUUUGAAAAGUUGUCUUUCCCUCUGAAGCAAUGAAUGAUCUAUUUAACAACUCCUACCUCCAAACAGUAGAUACACUAAACUCCUUCAAAUGGAUUUUGUUCUAAGUUACCUGAAUACCACCACCAUUGGACUUGUUUCUCUUAUCAUCUUCUCUUUCUUUUUCUAUGGUCUCUUCAAAUUUUCUCAAGGGAAAGAAGCUCCCACAGUUGCAGGUGCAUGGCCAAUACUUGGUCACCUUCCAUUGUUGAGUGGUUCAAAGUCACCCCACAGAACUCUGGGUGCUUUGGCUGAAAAAUAUGGACCCAUUUUCACCAUCCAACUUGGUUCCAAAAAGGCUCUGAUAAUCAACAACUGGGAAAUAGCAAAGGAAUGCUUCACCACAAUCGACAUGGUUGUUUCUUCUCGCCCCAAGAUUCUCGCCUCUGAACUCAUGGGCUACAACCAUGCCAUGUUUGGCUUUGCACCUUAUGGUCCCUAUUGGCGCGAGAUACGAAAGAUUACAACGUUAGAAAUCCUUACUACUCGUCGAGUGGAACAGCUGCAGCAUGUUCGUGUCUCAGAACUUCAAAACUGGAUCAAACAGUUGUAUAAUGUUUGGUGCAGCCAGAAGAGUGAGUCUGGCUAUGCCUUGGUGGAGCUGAAGCAAUGGUUUUCUCACCUCGCAUUCAACAUGGUUCUUCGAAUGGUCGUUGGGAAGAGAUAUUUUGGUGGUGAAAACUUGCAAGAUGAGAAGGCACAGAGAUGUGUGAGGGCUGUGGAGGAGUUCAUGCGUCUGUUUGGGGUGUUCACAGUGGGAGAGUUUGUUCCAUGGUUGAGAUGGUUUGAUUUUGGAGGCCAUGAGAAGGCAAUGAAAGCAACUGC